UUACUUCCUUUUUCGGAAGGGUUAGAAGGCUCAUAAUUCACAGAAGACUUUUCAAUUGGACUAUUAACUGACUCAAGAUUCUUAUCCAAAAUCAUAGCCUCUGAAUUUGCAACCUAUUAAAUAGGUGAGAAAAAAGCAGUUGAAGGGAAUUUUACCAAUUGUAUCCUUCCAAACAAAAUUAGCAUUUUCAAAGUAUUCUUGCAUACAUAUGGCAAAACAUAAGUUAAAUCACAUGUAUUUCGAUGGCUGAUGACCAUGAUUGUGAUUUGCCUGCCAAAAUGAAUUUUUAAAAACUCCGAAGAAAUAAAAAUGAUGGUAUACAUCAACUUCCUAGCUUGGAUGGAAAGAAGGAAAAACAAAUGUUCAGGUACUUAGACAACACUUUAUUCCUAUUAGACUAACUUUUAGGAACUAAUAAACACUAUAUUUAAGAAAAUUUUACUUUUGUUAUACUUUUAAUAAAGACUAGAAAUAACUCAGAUUGCUAACUUGCUCUUCCAAUUGUUGAGUUUAUUUAAAACUUGAAGCUGAAACAUUCAGUGUUCUCAGCUUUGGUUGAGAACUUGCAGCAUUUUAUAUAUAUGUAAAUAUAUAUGUACAUUAAUUCAAAAGGAUCAAGGACAGCAUGAACAAAAAUGCACUAGGUGCCAUGGAAGCUGGGCACCCAUCUGUUGCCCCAAACCUGUAGCAGUGGUGGCUAACCCCCCAAUUCCAUACUGGUAGGAUUAGGGGGCCCAAUUCACCACAGCAGCACUAUCAGUUGGGUGCUCAUCUGACAUCUGGGGCAAUGGCAGGCCCAAUCCAUUGCAGUGGUAGUGACCAUAGGCCAACUUUUCCUGAAUUUCCCACCCAAUGGCACUGGGGAUUGAGGUGGCACCGGCAGGGGCUAAAUGGGAGACCCAGUGGAGCCAGAAGAAUGAAGCUAAGCAGUAUGGCACUGUAAGAGCUCUGAAAAGUAAACUGUCAUUGAAACUGCAGCUUAAAAGAAGAGGCCAGGAUCUACACACUAAACCUAAACAGGGGAACUUCCUGCUGAAAGGGAGUCCUAUGCUUAGUGUUUUCAAAGAGCCCUCCCUGUGACUGGAUACUGAGACAUUUGAUCCUUCCAAGGCACUAGCAAAAGGGUGUCCAGCCAAAAUCUUGACUUUCUCUCCGGGGCAUACUCUUCUGAUAGUGAGCCUCUUAGAGUCUUCUGCAAUCUGGUCAGGCUGAGAAUUGCCUAAAUCAUUAAGUCCUGGUUCCUUUCUGCUAAACAGUUUGUUUCUUCUUCAAUUUUUCUCUUUUUUUUUCUCACAUUGUGAAAAGAAGCAAGAGGAAAUCAGGCCAAACCUUCAACACUUUGCUUAGAAACCUCAUACACCCCGGUAAUCCCAGCUACUCAGGAGGCUAAGGCACGAGAAUUGAUUGAACCCAGGAGGCGGAUGUUGCAGUGAGCCGAGAUUGUGUCACUGCACUCCAGCCUGGGCAACAGAGCCAGACUUUGACUCCAAAAAAUAAAAAAAGAAAUAAAAUCUCAUAAGUCAAACAAAAUCCAAAUUCAUAGUUUACAAGUUGUUUUCCAUAUAAUGUAGGAUACAAUGCAACUAAACUUCCUGCCACUACGUAACACAAAUCCCCUUUCCUCCUGUUUCCAAUAACAUGUAUCCUCAUUUCCUUUCAAGUCCUCACCAACAAUGCUUUUAAUGUCUAUAUUUCUAUCAAAAGUUUGUUUAUGAAGAUCUAGGUAUUAAGUCCAUGGUAGGUUUUCUCCACUGUGCUCAUUUCCUUUUAACCUCCACGGGCAGUCUUUAACUUCCAAAUUUCUACUAAGAGUCUGUUCAAGGUAAUCUAGGCUUUUUAUAAAGCAUGCUCCUCAAAACUCCUCUAGUCUCUAUGCAUUACCCUACUCAAAAGCCACUUUCACAUUUUUAGGUAUUGGUUACAGCAGCACCCCACACUUCCUGGUACCAAAUUCUUUGUGAAUUUCCUGAAGUUACCUUAACAAAUUACCACAAACUGCAUGACUUAUUUUAUCACAGCUUUAGAAGCCAAAAGUUGGAAAUCAGUUUUACUAAGCUAAAAUCAAGGUACUGGCCUUCCUUCUGGAGGCUGCCUGCGUUUCUGGACUUGAGGCCCUCCUCCAUCUUCAGUGUACUUCAUUCCAGCCUCUGCUUCCAUUGUCCCAUUUCCUUUUUCUGCCUUUGACCUUCUUGCCACUUUUUUUGUAAGAACCCUUUUGAUUAAAAUGAGCCCACACAGAUAAUCCAGGAUUAACUACCCAUCAUCUCAAGGUACUUAAUUUAAUAAUACCUACAAAGACUCUUUUCACCAUGUAAGGUAACAUAUUCACAAGUUCUGGGAAUUAGGUCAUGGACAUCUUGCAGGGACCAUUUUUUCCAUCUACCAUAGCUGUAGAAGGUCGAAAAAACACUAUCAACCAUCUUGGCACAAUUAACUCAAACAUGACAUUUACAGAACAUUACAACCAACAUUCUGUACAUGGAACAUUCGUCAAGUAAAAUAAUAUGCUGGACUAUAAAAUAAGUUUAACUUUCAAAAUUUAAGUUUUACAUAGUAUGUUCUCUGACCAAAUGAAAUCAGGUAUUAUAAAAAUAAAAUACCUAGAAGUCACAAAUAUUUUGAAAUUAAACACACACUUCCAAAUAAUUCAUAUGUCAAAGAAUACAAGGAACAUUAUAAAUCAUUUUGAACUGAUGGAAAACAAAGAUAUGAUGUAUCAAAGAUUAUAAUAUUUGCAUUAAGAAGUACAUAAUCUAACCACUAAGAAGAUGCUUAGAAUAAGUGAUACUUAGAAGGAAAUUCAGCUUUAAAUGUUUAAUGUUAGAAAAGGUCUCUUAAGAACCUGGAAAAAGAACAAAUUAUAACUAAAGUCAGUAAAAGAAAGACAAUAAAGAAAAACAGGAAUCAAAAUAAAGAAAACAAAUGAUAGAAAUAACAAAAUCUGGUUGAUCAAGAAGGAAAAAUAAUAAAUAUACAGAUUAACCCACAUCAGAAACAAAGUACAGUGAUACACUGUAGAACCCCAAACAUUAAAAGGACAAGUGAAUUUUUUUUUUUUUUUUUUUUUUUUUUUUUUGAGAUGGAGUCUCACACUGUCACUGGGCUGGAGUACAGUGGCACAAUCUUGGCUCACUGCAACCUCCGCCUCCCAGGUUCAAGCGAUUCUCCUGCCUCAGCCUUCCAAGUAGCUGGGAUUACAGGCACCUGUCACCAUGCCCGGCUAAUUUUUUGUAUUUUUAGUUGAGACGGGGUUUCACCGUGUUAGCAAGGCUGGUCUCGAACUUCUGACCUUGUGAUCUGCCCGCCUCAGCCUCCCAAAGUGCUGGGAUUACAGGUGUGAGCCACCGCGCCCAGCCUAGGACAAGUGAAUUUUACUGAUAACUUUAUGACAGUGAAUUCAAUAAUUUAGAUAACAUGGAUAAAUUCCUUACAAAGAUAACUUGCAAAACUGAUAAAAGAUGGAAAAAAAAAAAAAACUGAAUGGCUCUGUACCUACGAAAGAAUUGGAUUUUCAAGUAAAAGCCUUCUUACGAAGAAAGCUGUGGGCCAGGCGUAGUGGCUCAUGCCUGUAAUCCCAGGACUUUGGGAGGCCAAGGCGGGUGGAUCACCUGGGGUCAGGGCAGGCGGAUCACAUGAGGUCGGGAGUUCAAGACCAGCCUGACCAACAUGGAGAAACCCUGUCUCUACUAAAAAUACAAAAUUAGCCAGGUGUGGUGGCGCAUGACUGUAAUCCCAGCUACUCGGGAGGCUGAGGUAGGAGAAUUGCUUGAACCCAGGAGAUGGAGGUUGCGAUGAGCUGAGAUUGUGCCACUGCACUCCAGCCUGGGCAACAAGACUGAAACUCCAUCUCAAAAAAAUAAAUAAACAAAGAAAGCUCCUUGCUCAGUUUUCAGAAUCUAAGUGCUGAGUAUACAAGUAUUCACUAUAAAAUUAUUUCGGAUUGCUGGCAAGAUGGCUGAAUAGGAACAGCUCCGGUCUGCAGCUCCCAGUAAGAUUGAUGCAGAAGGCAGGUGAUUUCUGCAUUUCUAACUGAGGUACCUGGUUCAUCUCAUUGGGACUAGUUGGACAGUGGGUGUAGCCACAGACAGCGAGCUAAAGCAUGGUGGGGCUCUCACCAGGGAAGCACAACGGGUCAAGGAAUUCUCUUCCCUACCCAAGGGAAGCCAUGAUGGACUAUGCCGUGAGGAACGGUACACUCCAGCCCAGAUACUGCAUUUUUCCCACAGUCUUCACAACCCACAGACCAGGAGAUUCCCUCCGGUGCCUAUGCUACCACGGCCCUGGGUUUCAAGCACAAAGCUGGGUGGCUGUUAGGGCAGACACUGAGUUAGGUGCAGGAGUUUUUCUUUUCCAUACCCUAGUGGUGCCUAGAAUGCCAGUGAGAGAGAACCGUUCACUCUUCCUGCAAAGGGGGCUGAAGCCAGGGAGCCAAGUGUUCUGGCUCGGCAGGUCCCACCCACACGGAGCCCAGCUAGCUAAGAUCCACUGGCUUGAAAUUCUCGCUGCCAGCACAGCAGUCUGAGGUUGACCUGGGAUGGUCAAGCUUGGUGAGGGGAGGGGCAUUGACCAUUGCUGAGGCUUGAGUAGGCGGUUUCCCCCUCACAGUGCAAACAAAGCCACUGGGAAGUUUGAACUGGGCCGAGCCCACUGCAGCUCGGCAAGGCCACUGUGGCCAGACUGCCUCUCUAGAUUCCUCCUCUCUGGACAGGGCAUCUCUGAAAAAAAGGCAGCAGGGGCUUAUAGAUAAACCCCCCAUCUCCCUGGGACAGAGCACCUGAGGGCUUCAGUAGACUUAAAUGUCCCUGCCGGACAGGACUCUGAAGAGAGCAGCAGAUCAGUGGAUCUCCCAGCACAGCAUUUGAGCUCUGCUAAAUGUCAGACUGGCUCCUCAAGUGGGUCCCUGACCCCCGUGUAUCCUGACUGGGAGACACCUCCCAGUAGGGGCCAACAGACACCUCAUACAAGAGAGCUCUGGCUGGCAUCUGUCAGUGCCCCUCUGGGAUGAAGCUUCCAGAGGAAGGAACAGGCAGCAAUCGUUGCUGUUCUGCAGCCUCUGCUGGUGAUACCCAGGCAAACAAGGUCGGGAGUGGACCUCAAGCAGACCUGCACCACAGGGGCCUGACAGAAGAGUAACAAACAGAAAGGAAUAGCAUCAACAUCAACAAAAAGGACGUCCACUCAGAGACCCCAUCCGAAGGUCACCAACAUCAAAGACCAAAGGUAGAUAAAUCCACAAAGAUGGGGAGAAACCAGCCCAAAAAGGCUGAAAAUUCCAAAAACAAGAACGCCUCUUCUCCUCCAAAGGAUCACAACUACUUGCCAGCAACAGACCAAAACUGGACGGAGAAUGAGGGUGACAAGUUGACAGAAGUAGGCUUCAGAAGGUGGGUAAUAACAAACUCCAAUGAGCUAAAGGAGCACUUUUUUUUUUUGGGACGGAGUUUUGCUCUUGUCGCCCAGGCUGGAGUGCAGUGGAGCGAUCUCGACUCACUGCAACCUCUGCCUCCCGGGUUCAAGCGAUUCUCCUGCAUAGCCUCCUGAGUAGCUGGGACUACAGGCGUGCACCACCACGCCCAGCUACUUUUUUGUAUUUUUAGUAGAGAUGGGGUUUCACUAUGUUGGCUAGGGUGGUCUUGAACUUUUGACCUUGUGUCCAUCUCGACCUCUCAAAGUGCUGGGAUUACAGGUGUGAGCCAGUGUACCCAGCCUAAAGGAGCAUCUUCUAACUCAAUGCAAGGAAGCUAAGAGCUUUGAAAAAAGGUUAGAUAAAUAGCUAAGUAGAAUAACCAGUUUAGAGAAGAAUAUAAAUGACCUGAUGGAGCUGAAAAACACGGUAUGAGAACUUCAUGAAGCAUACACAAGUAUUAACAGCUGAACUGAUCAAGCGGAAGAAAGGAUAUCAGAGAUUGAAGAUCAACUUAAUGAAAUAAAGUGAGAAGACAAGAUUAGAGAAAAAAGAAUUUUUGAAAAGGAACGAACACAGCCUCCAAGAAAUAUGGGACUAUGUGAAAAGACCACACCUAUGUUUGAUUGUUGUACCCGAAAGUGACAGGGAGAAGGGAACCAAGUUAGAAAACACUCUUCAGGAUAUUAUCCAGGAGAACUUCCCCAACCUAGCAAGACAGGCCAACAUUCAAAUUCAGGAAAUACAGAGACCACCACAAAGAUACUCCUGGAGAAGAGCAACCCUAAGACACAUAAUCGUCAGAUUCACCAAGGUUGAAAUGAAAGAAAAAAUGUUAAGGGCAGCCAGAGAGAAAGGUAAGGUUACCCACAAAGGGAAGCCCAUCAGACUAACAGCAGCUCUCUCUGCAGAAACCCUACAAGCCAGAAGAGAGUGGGGGCCAAUAUUCAACAUUUUUAAAGAAAAGAAUUUUCAACCCAAAAUUUCAUAUCCAGCCAAACUAAGCUUCAUAAGUGAAGGAGAAAUAAAAUCCUUUACAGACAAGCCAAUGCUGAGACAUUUUGUCACCACCAGGCCUGCCUUACAAGAGCUCCUGAAAGAAGCACUAAACAUGGAAAGGAACAACCAGUACCAGCCACUGCAAAAACAUACCAAAUUGUAAAGACCAUUGACACUGUGAAGAAACUGCAUCAACUAACCGGCAAAAUAACCAGCUAGCAUCAUAAUGACAGGAUCAAAUUCACACAUAACAAUAUUAACCUUAAAUGUAAAUGGGCUAAAUGCCCCAAUUAAAAGACACAGACUGGCAAACUGGAUAAAGAGUCAAGACCCAUUGGUGUGCUGUAUUCAGGAGAUCCAUCUCACAUGCAAAGACACACACAGGCUCAAAAUAAAGGGAUGGAGGAAGAUCUACCAAGCAAAUGGAAAACAAAAAAAAAAGCAGGGGUUGCAAUCCUAGUCUCUGAUAAAACAGACUUUAAACCAACAAUGAUCAAAAGAGACAAAGAAAGGCAUUACCUAAUGGUAAAGGGAUCAAUGAAACAAGAAGAACUAUCAUAAAUAUAUAUGCACCCAAUGCAGGAACACCCAGAUUCAUAAAGCAAGUUCUUAAAGACCUACAAAGAGACUUAAGACUCUCAGACAGUAAUAGUGGGAGACUUUAACAACGCACUGUCAAUAUCAGACAGAUCAACGAGACAGAAAAUUAGCAAGGAUACUCAGGACUAGAACUCAACUCUGGACCAAGUGGACCUAAUAGACAUCUACAGAACUCUCCACCCCAAAUCAAUAGAAUAUACAUUCUUCUCAGCACCUCAUCAUACUUAUUCUAAAAUUGACCACAUAACUGGAAUUAAAACACUCCUUAGCAAAUGCACAAGAAUGGGAAUCCUAACAGUCUCUCAGACCACAGUGCAAUAAAAUUAGAACUCAGUAUUAAGAAACUCACUCAAAACCACACAACUACAUGGAAACUGAACAACCUGCUCCUGAAUGACUAAUGGAUAAAUAACAAAAUUAAGGCAGAAAUAAAGAUGUUCUUUGAAACCAAUGGGACCAAAGACACAAUGUAUCAGAAUCCCUGGGACACAUUUAAAACAGUGUUUAGAGGGAAAUUUAUAGCACUAAAUGCCCACAAGCGGGAAAGAUCUAAAAUCGACACCCUAACAUCAAAAUUAAAAGAAGUAGAGAAGCAUGAGCAAACAAAUUCAAAAGCUAGCAGAAGACAAGAAAUAACUCUAAGAUCAGAGCAGAACUGAAGGAGAUAGAGACAUGAAAAACCCUUAAAAACAAACAAACAAACAAAAAAAUCAAUGAAUCCAGGAGCUGGUUUUCUUAAAAAAGAUCCAACAAAAUAGACCGCUAGCCUGACUAAUAAAGAAGAAAAGACAGAAGAAUCAAAUAGACACAAUAAAAAAUCAUAAAGGGGAUAUCACCACUGAUCCCACAGAAAUACAGACUACCAUCAGAGAAUAAUAUGAACACCUCUAUGCAAAUAAACUAGAAAAUCUAGAAGAAAUGUAUAAAUUCCUGGACACAUACACCCUCCCAAGUCUAAAGCAGGAAGAAAUCGAAUUCCUGAAAAGACCAAUAACGAGUUCUGAAAUUGAGGCAGUAAUUAAUAGUCUACCAACCAAAAGUCCAGGACCAGAUGGAUUCACAGCCAAAUCCUACCAGAGGUACAAAGAGGAGCUGGUACUGUUCCUUCUGAAACCAUUCCAAAGAAUAGAAAAAGAGGGAAUCCUCCCUAAUUCAUUUUAUGAGUCCAGCGUCAUCCUGAUACCAAAACCUCACAGAGACACAACAAAAGAAAAUUUCAGGCCAAUAUCCCUGAUGAACAUCAAUGCGAAAAUCCUCAAUAAAAUACUGGCAAACUGAAACCAGCAGCACAUCAAAAAGCUUAUCCACCACGGUCAAGUUGGCUUCAUACCUAGGAUGCAGGGCUGGUUCAACAUACACAAAUCAAUAAACUUAAUCCAUCACAUAAACAGAACCAAUGAGAAAAACCACAUGAUUAUCUCAAUAGAUGCAGAAAAGGCCUUUGACAAAAUUCAACACCCCUUCAUGCUAAAAACUCUCAAUAAACUAGGUACUGAUGGAACAUAUCUCAAAAUAAUAAGAGUUAUUUAUGACAAACCCACAGCCAAUAUCAUACUGAAUGGGCAGAAACUGGAAGCAUUCCCUUUGAAAACUGGCACAAGAGAAGGAUGCCCUCUCUCUCACUACUCCUAUUCAACAUAGUAUUGGAAGUUCUGGCCAGGGCAAUCAGGCAAGAGAAAGAAAUAUGGGGUAUUCAAAUAAGAAGAGAGGAAGUCAAAUUGUCUCUGUUUGCAGAUAACAUGCAAUUUUUAGAUUUAGAAAUAUCUACAUCUAAAAUAGAUUGAGAUUUUCUAAAUAAUAUUUAGAAAACCCCAUCAUCUCAGCCCCAAAUCUCCUUAAGCUGAUAAGCAACUUCAGCAAAGUCUCAGGAUACAAAAUCAAUGUGCAAAAAUCACAAGCAUUCCUAUAUACCAAUAACAGAGAACCAAAUCAUGAGUGAACUCCCAUUCACAAUUGCUACAAAGAGAAUACCUAGGAAUCCAACUUACAAGGGAUGUGAAGGACCUCUUCAAGGAGAACUACAAACCACUGCUCAAGGAAAUAAGAGAGGCCACAAAUAAAUGGAAAAUAUUCCAUGCUAAUGGAUAGGAAGAAUCAAUACUGUGAAAAUGGCCAUACUGCCCAAAGUAAUUUAUAGAUUCAAUGCUAUCCCCAUCAAGCUACCAUUGACUUUCUUCACAGAAUUGGAAAAAAAUACUUAAAAUUUCAUAUGGAACCAAAAAAGAGCCCAUAUAGCCAAGACAGUCCUAAGCAAAAAGUACAAAGCUGGAGGCAUCACACUACCUGACUUCAAACCAUAUUACAAGGCUACAGUAACCAAAACAGCAUGGUACUGGUACCAAAAGAGAUAUAUAGACCAAUGGAACAGAACAGAGGCCUUAGAUAUAACACCACCUAUCUACAACCAUCUGAUCUUUGACAAACCUGACCAAAACAAGCAAUGGGGAAAGGAUUCCCUAUUUAAUAAAUGGUGUUGGGAAACCUGGUUAGCCAUAUGCAGAAAACUGCAACUGGACCCCUUCCUUACACGUUAUACAAAAAUUAGUUCAAGAUGGAUUAAAGACUUAACCAUAAGACCUAAAACCAUAAAAGCCUUAGAAGAAAACCUAGGUGUUAGGAACAGUUUCUCUUCAAAGGAUUUCACCCCCCUUGUCCUUUGUUCUAUUUUUAAGUUAUCUUUCCUGCCUUUAACAGGCCCAGGCAUCCACCAAGCUUGUAGCUGACCCACACUGCCUUACUUUAAGUUGUUAGGUACAAACAAUAAACUUCCUGGUUCUUUGUCCUAUUCUAAAUGCUAAAUCUAGUCAAUUGGGAUCUGUUUAGAUUGUGCAGUCUGACCCCAAUUAACGGGGGAGGUGGGGGAGGCAGGGAAGACACAGAAACAGGAGCGGCAUUAGGAAUAAAAACCCCUGCUUUCCUUUGUUCGGUGUGCUCUUGUGAUUGUGACUGACGCAGGCAGCACCCUUCUGCAGAAGUAAAUUUACCUUGCCGAGAAGUCUUUUGAGUGUUCGUUUUCUUUGCAACUCCCAGCUCAUUUCUAACAAUUUGGGGGCCCUGCCUGGGAUCCCAUUCUUCUCCGGAGAAGGGUCUCCGGUCAUCUUCUGGGAGGGGAUGCAUCCCACUGACUUGGUGCAGUGGCCUCAAAGGCUGGAGACUGAGACCCACCCGUUGUGACAAAUAAACCUGGAAUCUCAGCAACGCGAGAAGACAAGGACUACAAAUACUGUGGCGACCAGGUAACUAUGUGCACAGACCAAGGUAAGAAAAGCCGCUGGGGUGGUGAAGUGCUUCCUUGAUGGUUGGAGUAUCUUGGAGGUUGAAAGUGCGUGAAUGGUAACAAGCACUACUGCUGUGCAGAGUGAGUGAGUCCAAUCUGCAGUUCCGUGGUCAACUCAUAUGGCUUAUGGCGGCCCUUUGGGGGUCCCGUCAGGGUUUUCUACUGAUCCAUCAAUGUUAAGAGGGACCUAAAUUCCCUCUGGGGAAGUAGCCAGAGAAGACGAAGCAAAAGGAGAAGAGUGCGAGAAACCUCCAGUGGUUGGGGGGCAGGGGGCGGGUUGAGGCUAUAGGAAAGGAAAGGCAAGAAAUCUCCAGCAGGGGGGCAUUGAGCCUCACACAAACUUCCAAUAGUUGGGAAGGCAAGAAACUUCCAAUAGGGGAUAUUGAGCCUCACCCCAAAACCCCCAAGAUGGGAAACACCCCAAAUAAGGUAGGGCAUAAAAAGGAUAACACUAGCAGCAAUAACAUUCCCCCUGAUAGUCCCCUAGGGCUUAUGUUAAAAUAUGGAAAGAUAAUGAAAGGACUAAACACAAGAAAAAGCAACAGAUGAUAAAAUAUUGUUGUCUCAUUCGGACCCAGGAACCAAUCCUCGAACCCUCAGUUUUUUGGCCAAAGUUUGGGUCAUAUGAGGAUUGGAUGUGUCAGCUUUCAAUAGAACAUAUUAAUAGUAAGAGCCCUACCUCCCAAGAGGAAAUAGGUUAUGCCCUAUGUUGGUGGCAAGGACCUGUACUCCUUCACCCCCUAAAGACUGGAGGGAACAAGUCAAAAACUAACCUUUGGUGGAAAGUUGGUUGUAAUCACACCUCAUCAAGUUAGAACCAUCUUAAAUCAAAAGGCAGGAAGGUGGCUUACUGACUCAAGAAUUUUAAAAUAUGAAGCUAUCCUGUUAGAGAUUAUUUAACACUAUCCACUGAUGAUUCACUUAACCCAGCAGGUUUCUUGACUGGAGAUCCAAAUCUAAAGAGACCUGAACAUGAGUGUUUAGAUUUAAUUAAUUACCAUACAAAAGUUAGGCCUAAUUUAAGAGAGACCCCUUUCAAAACAGGGCAGCACUUAUUUAUAGGUGGCUCUUGCUGAGUAACUGAAGGAAAAAGAUAUAAUGGGUACUCAGUAGUCAAUCAAUGGGGAAGCCCUUGAAGAAGUAGGGCUUGAAGUAGCCCUUGAAGAAGUCAGGAAGACUGCCCAAUAAUUGGUCUGCCCAAACAUGUGAAUUGUUUGCAUUAUAUCAAGCCUAAAGCACUUGCAGAACCAAGAAGGAACUAUUUAUACUGAUUCCAAGUAUGCUUUCAGGGUAGCUCACACUUUUGGAAAAAUUUCGAUUGAACAAGGCUUUAUUAAUAGCAAAGGUCAAGACCUAGUUCACAAAGAGUUAAUCACCCAUGUAUUUAAUAAUCUCCAGGGCCAGGCGUGGUGGCUCACGCCUGUAAUCCCAGUACUUUGGGAGGCCGAGGUGGGCAGAUCACCUGAGGUCGGGAGUUCGAGACCAGCCUGACCAACAUAAAGAAAUCCUGUCUCUACUAAAAAUACAAAAAAAUUAGACAGUCAUGGCGGCACAUGCCUGUAAUUCCAGCUACUUGGGAGGCUGAGGCAGGAGAAUUGCUUGAACCUGGGAGGCGGAGGUUGCUGUGAGCCAAGAUCACACCAUUGCACUCCAGCCUGGGCAACAAGAGUAAAGCCCUGUCUCAAAUAAAUAAAUAAAUAAAUAAUCUCCAGCUGCCAGAAUAAAUAGCUAUUGUCCAUGUCCCAGGACACAAGAAAAGCCUUUCUUUUGAAAGUCAAGGAAAUAACCUUGCAGAUCAAAUAGCCAAACAAGUGGCUGUUUCCUCUGAGAGGCCUGUUUUUCACUUAACUCCUUGCCUUCCUCCCCCUACCACAGUCCCCAUUUUCUCUUCCACUGAAAAAAGAAAAAUUAAUAAAAACAGGGGCUAAAGAAAACUCAGAAGGGAAAUGGGUAUUAUCAGACCAAAGAGAAAUGUUAUCCAAACCUCUCAUGAAGGAGGUCUUGUCUCAGCUGCAUCAAGGAACCCAUUGGGGACCCCAAGCUAUGUGUGAUGCAGUUCUCAGAGUUUAUGGGUGUAUAGGAAUUUAUACCCUAGCCAAACAAGUUACAGAUAGUUGCUUAAUACGUAAGAAAACUAAUAAGCAAACUCUAAAAAAAUCACCACUUGCGGGAAGACGUCCAGGACUAAGACCAUUCCAUAGUGUCCAAACUGAUUACACAGAAAUACCUCAAUAGGUCACCUAAAAUUCCUAUUAGUAAUAGUAGAUCACCUCACUCACUGGGUAGAAGCUAUUCCCUUUUCAAAUGCAACUGCUAAUAAUGUAGUUAAGGCAUUAAUUGAAAAUAUUGUACCCAGGUUUGAAAUAAUAAAAAACAUUGAUUCAGAUAAUGGAACUCGUUUCAGUGCAAAUAUUGUUAAAGGGCUUACUCAAACUCUAGGAAUAAAUUGGGAAUAUCAUACUCCAUGGCAUCCACCUUCAUCAAGGAAGGUAGAAAAAAAUGAACCAAACUUUAAAGAAUCAUUUAAAUCGAUUUUGAAAACUUCAUUGCCUUGGACCAAGUGUCUCCCCAUUGCCCUGCUCAGAAUUCAAACUGCCCCUCAAAAAGACAUUACGUACUUGGUCUAUCUUCUAUUCGAACUGCCCCUCAAAAAGACAUUACAUACUUGGUCUAUCUUCUACUUUGUCUUCUCUUAGGACCCAAGGUCUCUUAGCACAAACACUGCCUCUUGAGUUCCCAGUGCAUCUGUAUCAAUCUGGAGAUUACGUCCUCAUCAAAAGCUGGAAAGAAGAAAAACUCGAACCAACCUGGGAGACCUUAUCUAGUGCCCCUAACCACUGAGACAGCAGUCUGGACCGUUAAGAAAGGGUAGACCCAUCACACUCAGCUACCCAGGAACAUUUUAUUUUAUCAAUGUAACCUGAUCAUCGUUUCCUCAAACAAUUACAUUUGAUGCUUGUCUUGUUAUGCCCUGUGGGGACCUACAAACCCAAAGGCAACUAGCCUCUUCAGCUCUUGUUUCUAACAUAGGCAAUAACAUACAGGACAUAGGAAUGGGCAAAGACUUCAUGACUAAAACACCAAAAGCAACAGCAACAAAAGCCAAAAUUGACAAAUGGGAUCUAAUUAAACUAAAGAGAUUCUGCGCAGCAAAGGAAACUAUCAUCAGAGUGAACAGGCAACCUACAGAAUGGGAGAAAAUUUUUGCAAUCUAUCCAUUUGACAAAGGGCUAAUGUCCAGAAUCUAUAAAGAACUUAAAUUUACAAGAAAAAAACAACCCCAUCAAAAAGCGGGCGAAGGAUAUGAACAGACACUUCUCCAAAGAAGACAUUUAUGCAGCCAACAAACAUGAAAAAUAGCUGAUCAUCACUGGUCAUUAUAGAAAUGCAAAUCAAAACCACAGUAAGAUACUAACUCAUGCCAGUUAGAAUGGCGAUCAUUAAAAAGUCAGGAAACAACAGAUGCUGGAGAGGAUGUGCAGAAAUAGGAAUGCUUUUUAUACUGUUGGUGAAAGUGUAAAUUAGUUCAACCAUUGUGGAAGACAGUGUGGCGAUUCCUCAAGGAUCUAUAGAACCAGAACUACCACAUGACCCAGCAAUCCCAUUACUGGGUAUAUACCCAAAGGAUUAUACAUCAUUCUGCUAUAAAGACACAUGCACACGUACGUUUAUUGCAGCACUAUUUACAAUAGCAAAGACUUGGAAUCAACCCAAAUCCCCGUCAAUGAUAGACUGGAUAAAGACAAUGUGGCACUUAUACACCAUGGAAUACUAUGCAGCCAAAAAAAGGAUGAAUUCAUGUCCUUUGCAGCGACAUGGAUGAAGCUGAAAACCAUCAUUCUCAGCAAACUAACACGAGAACAGAAAACCAAACACUACAUGUUCUCACUCAUAAGUGGGAGUUGAACAAUGAGAACACAUGGACACACGGAGGGGAACACCACACACCAGGGCCUGUCAGGGGGUGGGGAGGCUAGGGGAGGGAUAGCAUUAGGAGAAAUACCUAAUGUAGAUGACAGGUUGAUGGGUCUGACAAACCACCAUGACACGUGUAUACCUAUGUAAUGCAACUGCACAUUUUGCUCAUGUACCCCAGAACUUAAACUAUAAUUAAAAACACAUAAUUUCAACUUUGCUGUAUAUAUUUGAUACUUUUCAUGAUAAAAUGGGGGUGGGGGAAGCCAAUCUUGGCAAUCACCAAUCCUCUUUCUACUCCCUUUACUACAGAAAUACAAGUGGCAUGUACUACCUAAGGGUGUCUUUUCCAGAGACAGAUGCAUGGGAACACUCUAAGUAAAAACUUACUUACCUUUACACCUUCUGUCCUAGCCUGGAAAUAUAUUCAUUUCUUCUAAUCAAACCACUUAUAUGAGUCAAAUAGAUGAUUACAAUUCCUGUGUGUUUAUACAAACCUUAGAGGCUCCAUUACUG
Molecule: long non-coding RNA, 14711 nt
Filed under: Homo sapiens (human)
Lineage: Eukaryota; Metazoa; Chordata; Mammalia; Primates; Hominidae
Description: PREDICTED lncRNA (TCONS_00100996)
Source: RNAcentral